RNAcentral lists this ribosomal RNA (733 nucleotides) under uncultured bacterium. RNAcentral's name for it is "bacterial SSU rRNA". It matches the Rfam family "Bacterial small subunit ribosomal RNA", at positions 28 to 739 of the family's 1533-position model. The record is from RNAcentral.
AACGAACGCUGGCGGCGUGCCUAACACAUGCAAGUCGAACGGGAAAGCCCGCAAGGGUGAGUACAGUGGCGCACGGGUGCGUAGCACGUGGGUAAUCUGCCCAGAAGCCCGGAAUAACUCCCCGAAAGGGGUGCUAAUGCCGGAUGAGACCACGGGGACUUCGGUUCCUGGGGGAAAAGGUGGCCUCUGUAUACAAGCUAUCACUUCUGGAUGAGCCCGCGGCCCAUCAGCUAGUUGGCGGGGUAAUGGCCCACCAAGGCUACGACGGGUAGCUGGUCUGAGAGGACGAUCAGCCACACUGGAACUGAGACACGGUCCAGACUCCUACGGGAGGCAGCAGUGGGGAAUCUUGCGCAAUGGGCGAAAGCCUGACGCAGCAACGCCGCGUGUGUGAUGAAGGUCUUCGGAUCGUAAAGCACUGUCGGGAGGGACGAAUAAGGGCCGGGUGAACAAUCCGGUCCGACGACGGUACCUCCAGAGGAAGCACCGGCUAACUCUGUGCCAGCAGCCGCGGUAAUACAGAGGGUGCUAGCGUUGUUCGGAAUUAUUGGGCGUAAAGCGCGUGUAGGCGGCCGGCCAAGUCGGAUGUGAAAGCCCUCGGCUCAACCGAGGAAGUGCGUUCGAUACUAGCUGGCUUGAGUACCGGAGAGGGUGGUGGAAUUCCCGGUGUAGAGGUGAAAUUCGUAGAUAUCGGGAGGAACACCAGUGGCGAAGGCGACCACCUGGACGGAUG